Vidua macroura (Pin-tailed whydah) is the source of this 785-nucleotide long non-coding RNA. RefSeq lists it as uncharacterized. The transcript has 4 exons. NCBI's taxonomy places the organism in Eukaryota, Metazoa, Chordata, Aves, Passeriformes, Viduidae. The record is from RefSeq and is a predicted model, not a curated record.
UCUUGCCAGCACUCCCCAAAAUCAAACCAGACUGUCGAUACCUGGAUGGAAUAUGAACAGGAUGUUGGAAAGACACAUUCCAGCAAUGGUUUCCUGAGAUUCACAAUGUCUCCAAUCCAUUAAUGGGGUCUGGAUUGGUCUCACCUGCUUUUAGUUCUUUCAAAUUUAGUCUAGGCCUGCCCUUGACUGAGAGAAGCUUGGUCUGGGAGCCCUUCAUCCUGGAGAACUUCACGUCCCUUAAUUUUGGAAGGCUGAAGUGUUGUCUGAACUCAACAUAAAAGCAUCAGUGGCAGCCACCAGCCUUUGUAUUAGUGAGAUGAUUUUUCUCCACAUCUGUGCCUGCCUGGAGAUCUCUCCACCCAAGUGGGUUUUGUGCAGCUUUAGAAGAUGCUUGGUCAGCCAGAAAUAUGAGAACAAUCAACCAUAGCUCAGAAAAUGUGGAAUUGUGACAGAAAUUUCUACCAUGAACCCUCUCUGCACCAGCAGUCACUGUGUUGAUGACAUGUUGCCACAAUAAGAAGACUUGCACGUCUGGAAGUGGAGUUAUCUACAACCCUGCUGCCUUAAAUCUGCUCCAUAAUAGCCCGUGGUGGCUUUUGCAUUUCUUCUUAUAUAAAAAAUCUCUGCAUUGCUCCUGCUCCAGGACCUAAAAUCACAACUGUGAAAUCAGGCCCAAUUCCCACGAGGGAUGGGAGGAAGUGCUGGCACGGGCUCCUGCAGAAUGCCAGUGCCCCUUUCCCCCACAGCACUGAGGGCAAGGCCAGGUCCCCAGUGAGAUGAAGGGA